GACGAACGCUGGCGGCGUGCUUAACACAUGCAAGUCGAACGCUGAAGCUUGGUGCUUGCACUGGGUGGAUGAGUGGCGAACGGGUGAGUAAUACGUGAGUAACCUGCCCUUGACUCUGGGAUAAGCCUGGGAAACUGGGUCUAAUACUGGAUACGACAUGCCACUGCAUGGUGGUGUGUGGAAAGGGUUUUACUGGUUUUGGAUGGGCUCACGGCCUAUCAGCUUGUUGGUUGGGUAAUGGCCUACCAAGGCGACGACGGGUAGCCGGCCUGAGAGGGUGACCGGCCACACUGGGACUGAGACACGGCCCAGAGUCCUACGGGAGGCAGCAGUGGGGAAUAUUGCACAAUGGGCGGAAGCCUGAUGCAGCGACGCCGCGUGAGGGAUGACGGCCUUCGGGUUGUAAACCUCUUUCAGCACGGAAGAAGCGAGAGUGACGGUACGUGCAGAAGAAGCGCCGGCUAACUACGUG
RNAcentral lists this ribosomal RNA (472 nucleotides) under uncultured bacterium. Its description in RNAcentral is "partial 16S ribosomal RNA". It matches the Rfam family "Bacterial small subunit ribosomal RNA", at positions 28 to 507 of the family's 1533-position model. The record is from RNAcentral.